RNAcentral lists this long non-coding RNA (508 nucleotides) under Mytilus galloprovincialis (Mediterranean mussel). Lineage: Eukaryota; Metazoa; Mollusca; Bivalvia; Mytilida; Mytilidae. The record is from RNAcentral.
AGAUGAAGAAUGGAUAAUCCCAAGAAAAUGGAAAAGAAAACUUCACCACUGAUUACUGAGUUAAAAAGCAACAUGAAGUUCAAACCAGAGGGACAUAGGGGUUCAAAAAUACGAGCCGGAGGGACACGGGACUUCAUCAUUCAAAUACGACUGUAGGGAUAAACGAAAACUGUUUCUCAUAUAUAACUUUUGGAUUAUCUAUUCAUAUAUAACUUUUUUGGGAUGUUCUAUUCAUAUAUAAUCUUUUUUGGGCAUAAUUUAUUCAUAUAUAUAAAACUAUUUUGGGAUGUUCUAUUCAUAUAUUGCCUCUUCUUUGAAAUCUUUAUUAAUAUUUGCUAUGUAUUAUUUUCUCAUUACAUUUUUAUUUUUAUUUGAAACAUUGGGGUUGGUUUGUGUCCUGUUUCAUUUUAAUACAGUAUAUUUCCUCAUUGAGUUUAAAUUAUUAAUAUCGUUUACAUGUAUAUGGAAAUGUUUGUCAAACUAAUUGGGGAUACAUUGUAGGUAUCUG